UGUUGCUCAGGGGUAGAGUGCUUGCCUAGCAAGUAUGAGGCACUGAGUUCAAUUCUCAGCA
Molecule: transfer RNA, 61 nt
Filed under: Ictidomys tridecemlineatus (thirteen-lined ground squirrel)
Lineage: Eukaryota; Metazoa; Chordata; Mammalia; Rodentia; Sciuridae
Description: Spermophilus tridecemlineatus (thirteen-lined ground squirrel) tRNA
Rfam family: tRNA
About the family: Transfer RNA (tRNA) molecules are approximately 80 nucleotides in length.
Source: Rfam by way of RNAcentral